GAUGAACGCUGGCGGCGUGCCUAAUACAUGCAAGUCGAGCGAACAGAUAAGGAGCUUGCUCCUUUGACGUUAGCGGCGGACGGGUGAGUAACACGUGGGUAACCUACCUAUAAGACUGGAAUAACUCCGGGAAACCGGGGCUAAUGCCGGAUAACAUGUUGAACCGCAUGGUUCUACAGUGAAAGGCGGCUUUGCUGUCACUUAUAGAUGGACCCGCGCCGUAUUAGCUAGUUGGUGAGGUAACGGCUCACCAAGGCAACGAUACGUAGCCGACCUGAGAGGGUGAUCGGCCACACUGGAACUGAGACACGGUCCAGACUCCUACGGGAGGCAGCAGUAGGGAAUCUUCCGCAAUGGGCGAAAGCCUGACGGAGCAACGCCGCGUGAGCGAUGAAGGUCUUCGGAUCGUAAAACUCUGUUAUUAGGGAAGAACAAAUGCGUAAGUAACUGUGCGCGUCUUGACGGUACCUAAUCAGAAAGCCACGGCUAACUACGUG
RNAcentral lists this ribosomal RNA (497 nucleotides) under uncultured bacterium. RNAcentral describes it as "partial 16S ribosomal RNA". It matches the Rfam family "Bacterial small subunit ribosomal RNA", at positions 28 to 507 of the family's 1533-position model. The record is from RNAcentral.